This 2728-nucleotide ribosomal RNA is filed under the name soil metagenome. Its description in RNAcentral is "bacterial LSU rRNA". It matches the Rfam family "Bacterial large subunit ribosomal RNA". The record is from RNAcentral.
CUAAGCUACAAAGUGCAUAUGGUGGAUGCCUUGGCGGACGCCGUUGAUGAAGGACGUGGUAAGCUGCGAUAAGCUUCGGGGAGGCGCAAACAGCCUUUGAUCCGGAGAUUUCCGAAUGGGGAAACCCUACUGGCCGUGAGGUCAGUAACCUUCACAUGAAUUCAUAGUGUGUUGGAGACAACCCAGGGAAGUGAAACAUCUCAGUACCUGGAGGAACAGAAAUCAAAUGAGAUUCCCUUAGUAGCGGCGAGCGAACGGGGAAUAGCCCAAACGAUGGGGGCGCAAGCUCCUGUCGGGUUGUAGGACUUAUCGGACCGUGAGGUCGGGAAGUCAAAAAUCCGUCUCUUAGUUGAACGGCUUGGAAAGGCCGGCCAAAGAAGGUGAGAGCCCUGUAAGCGAAAAGGGACGGACUUCCUGGAUAAGCUCCUGAGUACCACCGGGCACGUGAAAUCCGGUGGGAAUCUGGGGAGACCACUCUCCAAGGCUAAAUAUGAGCGUCCGACCGAUAGUGAACCAGUACCGCGAGGGAAAGGUGAAAAGUACCGCUGACGCGGAGUGAAAAGUACCUGAAGCCGUAUGCAUACAAGCAGUUCGAGCCCUAUGACCCUUUCGCAAGAUGGGGUAAUGGGUAAGAGCGUGCCUGUUGAAGAAUGAUCCGGCGAGUUAUUGGUGGUUGCAAGGUUAACUUGGCAGUCAAAAGCUGCCUGGGAAGCCGUAGCGAAAGCGAGUCUGAAUAGGGCGAUUAGUAGCCAUCAAUAGACCCGAAGCCAAGUGAUCUAACCCUGUCCAGGGUGAAGCCCUCUUAAUCGAGGGUGGAGGCCCGAAGUGUUGAGUGUUGAAAAACUCCUACAUGAGAUGGGGUUAGGGGCGAAAGGCCAAUCGAACUUGGUGAUAGCUGGUUCUCCCCGAAAUAGCUUUAGGGCUAGCCUCACGCGAUGACUUGAGGGGGUAGAGCACUGGAUAGUGUAGGGCCAAUAACCUUGGUUCCGAAGCUAACCAAACUCCGAAUACCUCAGGGUGAGCGUGGGAGUCAGUACACGAGGGCUAAGCUUCGUGGGCAAGAGGGGAACAUCCCAGACCGUCGAUCUAGGUCCCUAAGUACAUGCUAAGUGGUAAAGGUUGUGGAUUUGCUGAAACAGCUGGGAGGUUAGCUUAGAAGCAGCUAUCCUUUAAAGAGUGCGUAACAGCUCACCAGUCAAGCGAGUCUGCGCCGAAAAUGAUCGGGGCUAAAGCAUGUCACCGCAAUCACGGCUAUGCGAGUUCUACGGAAUUCGUAUGGGGUAGGGGAGCGUUCUGGACGGGACGAAGGCAUACCGUAAGGAGUGCUGGACUGUCCAGAAGUGAGAAUGUCGGAAUAAGUAGCGAUAUGAGGGGUGAGAAUCCUCUCCGCCGUAAGAGUAAGGUUUCCUUGAGCAACGUUCGUCGACUCAGGGUUAGUCGGACCUAAGCAGAGGCCGAAAGGCGUAUGUGAAGGACAUCAGGUUAAUAUUCCUGAACUAUGUUUGAAGCGUUAUCACCUAAGGAGGGACGCAGAAGAGUAAGCCAUCCUACGACUGGAAGUGUAGGUUCAAGGGCGUAGGCCUUUCCCGGCAAGCAAAUCUACCGGGAUAGCCGAGACCCGAAUACGAGGCUGGGGAAACCCGGUCGAAGUGGCCCAAUCCCGCUGCCAAGAAAAUCUUCGUAGGGAGUUUCAAGCAUAACCGUACCGCAAACCGACACAGGUACUCGAGUAGAAUAUACUAAGGCGCGCGAGCGAACUCUGGUUAAGGAACUAGGCAAACUGGUCCCGUAACUUCGGAAGAAGGGAUGCCUGCCGAUUUAACUCCGUACAGGGGAAGGAUUGGCGGGCCGCAGUGAAAUGGCUCUCGUGACUGUUUAACAAAAACACAGGACUCUGCUGAAAUCACAAGAUGAUGUAUAGGGUCUGAUGCCUGCCCGGUGCUGGAAGGUCACGGGGAGAUGUUAGUGCUCGCAAGAGUGCAAAGCAUUGAACCUAAGCCCCAGUAAACGGCGGCCGUAACUAUAACGGUCCUAAGGUAGCGAAAUUCCUUGUCGGGUAAGUUCCGACCUGCACGAAUGGCACAACAAAGAGGGCGCUGUCUCAACCAGAGGCUCGGUGAAAUUGGGGUGCAAGUGAAGACGCUUGCUGCCCGCGGCUAGACGAAAAGACCCCGUGAAGCUUUACUGUAUCUUGAUAAUGAACUACGGGAGUGGAUGCGUAGAAUAGGUGGGAGCCUUUGAAGGUUGCCUUUUGGGGUGACUGGAGGCACCAGUGAAAUACCACUCUUCCGGUCUUGUGGUUCUAACUACGUCCCUUAUAUCAGGGCGUAGGACAUUGUCAGGUGGGCAGUUUAACUGGGGCGGUUGCCUCCUAAAGAGUAACGGAGGCGUACAAAGGUUCCCUCAGCACGUAUAGAAAUCGUGCCUCGAAUGCAAGGGUAGAAGGGAGCUUGACUGCGAGACGGACAUGUCGAGCAGGUGCGAAAGCAGGUCCUAGUGAUCCGGUGGUUGAAUGUGGAAUUGCCAUCGCUCAACGAAUAAAAGCUACUCCGGGGAUAACAGGCUUAUCGGGUCCAAGAGUCCAUAUCGACGACCCGGUUUGGCACCUCGAUGUCGGCUCAUCGCAUCCUCCCGCUGAAGUAGGUGGGAAGGGUUUGGCUGUUCGCCAAUUAAAGCGGUACGUGAGCUGGGUUCAGUACGUCGUGAGACAGUACGGUCUCUAUCUACC